AUGGGACACUGUGAGACUCUGUGAGACAUGGGACACUGAGAGACUGUGAGACAUGGGACACUGAGAGACUCUGUGAGACAUGGGACACUGAGAGACACUGAGAGACAUGGGACACUGAGAGACUCUGUGAGACAUGGGACACUGAGACAUGGGACAUUGUGAGACAUGGGAUAUUGAGACACUGUGAGACAUGGGACAUUGAGAUACUGUGAGACAUGGGAUAUUGAGACACUGUGAGACAUGGGACUCUGAGACACUGUGAGACAUGGGACUCUGAGACGCUGUGAGACGUGGGACACUGUAAGACUUGGGACUCUGUGAAACAUGGUACAUUGAGACACUGUGAGACUCUGUGAGACAUGGGACACUGUAAGACAUGGGACUCUGUGGGACACUGUAAGACAUGGGACUCUGUGAGACAUGGGACAUUGAGAGACGCUGUGAGACAUGGGACACUGAGAGACACUGUGAGACAUGGGGGGAGGGAGGAGGACAUAGAGAGACACUGUGAGACAUGGGACAUUGAGAGACACUCUGAGACACGGGACUCUGUGAGAAAUGGGACAUUGAGAGACAUGUCUCACAGAGUCACUGAGACAUUAGACUCUGUGAGACAUGGGACACUGGAAAACAGGUAGUCACUGAGGUGGACAUGGAGACACACAGAGACAUAGAGAGACACAAAUGAGGGUAACAGGAGGAG
Non-coding RNA from Pelobates cultripes (western spadefoot toad), 703 nucleotides. The record is from the annotation of a GenBank genome assembly. NCBI's taxonomy places the organism in Eukaryota, Metazoa, Chordata, Amphibia, Anura, Pelobatidae.